UACGGGAGGCAGCAGUGGGGAAUAUUGCACAAUGGGCGCAAGCCUGAUGUAGCCAUGCCGCGUGUAUGAAGAAGGCCUUCGGGUUGUAAAGUACUUUCAGUCGUGAGGAAGGUGUUAAGGUUAAUAACCUUAGCAAUUGACGUUAGCGACAGAAGAAGCACCGGCUAACUCCGUGCCAGCAGCCGCGGUAAUACGGAGGGUGCGAGCGUUAAUCGGAAUUACUGGGCGUAAAGGGCACGCAGGCGGUUAAUUAAGUUGGAUGUGAAAUCCCCGGGCUUAACCUGGGAAUGGCAUUCAAGACUGGUUAGCUAGAGUCUUGUAGAGGGGGUAGAAUUCCAUGUGUAGCGGUGAAAUGCGUAGAGAUGUGGAGGAAUACCGGUGGCGAAGGCGGCCCCUGGACAAAGACUGACGCUCAUGUGCGAAAGCGUGGGGAGCAAACAGGGAUUAGAUACC
Molecule: ribosomal RNA, 453 nt
Filed under: uncultured bacterium
Lineage: Bacteria
Description: bacterial SSU rRNA
Rfam family: Bacterial small subunit ribosomal RNA
Source: RNAcentral